GCUCCGGUGGCUUAGUGGUUAGAGCAUCUGCUUUGGAUGCAGGAGGUCUUGGGUUUGAUCCCAGCUCAAGUCA
Molecule: non-coding RNA, 73 nt
Organism: Potamilus streckersoni
Lineage: Eukaryota; Metazoa; Mollusca; Bivalvia; Unionida; Unionidae
Source: the annotation of a GenBank genome assembly